AUUGAACGCUGGCGGCAGGCUUAACACAUGCAAGUCGAGCGGGGUGAUGGUGCUUGCACUAUCACUUAGCGGCGGACGGGUGAGUAAUGCUUAGGAAUCUGCCUAUUAGUGGGGGACAACAUCUCGAAAGGGAUGCUAAUACCGCAUACGUCCUACGGGAGAAAGCAGGGGAUCACUUGUGACCUUGCGCUAAUAGAUGAGCCUAAGUCGGAUUAGCUAGUUGGUGGGGUAAGGCCUACCAAGGCGACGAUCUGUAGCGGGUCUGAGAGGAUGAUCCGCCACACUGGGACUGAGACACGGCCCAGACUCCCACGGGAGGCAGCAGUGGGGAAUAUUGGACAAUGGGGGGAACCCUGAUCCAGCCAUGCCGCGUGUGUGAAGAAGGCCUUAUGGUUGUAAAGCACUUUAAGCGAGGAGGAGGCUCUUUUGGUUAAUACCCAAGAUGAGUGGACGUUACUCGCAGAAUAAGCACCGGCUAACUCUGUGCCAGCAGCCGCCGUAA
Molecule: ribosomal RNA, 502 nt
Filed under: uncultured bacterium
Lineage: Bacteria
Description: partial 16S ribosomal RNA
Rfam family: Bacterial small subunit ribosomal RNA
Source: RNAcentral